CCACCACCAAAGCAUUUGCUGUACCGCGUUGACGGAGCGAAGCGACGUCAAACCGAUAAAACAGCAGUGUAAAGUGAGCCGCAGGGCGCUUUGCGCGACAGCGCAAAGGCAGGCGGUUUCGCGUAGCGAAAGCGAAUGCUUUGGGGUGGGGUGACUGCGUACCUUUUGUAUAAUGGGUCAGCGACUUAUAUUCUGUAGCAAGGUUAACCGAAUAGGGGAGCCGGAGGGAAACCGAGUCUUAAUUGGGCGUUAAGUUGCAGGGUAUAGACCCGAAACCCGGUGAUCUAGCCAUGGGCAGGUUGAAGGUUGGGUAACACUAACUGGAGGACCGAACCGACUAAUGUUGAAAAAUUAGCGGAUGACCUGUGGCUGGGGGUGAAAGGCCAAUCAAACCGGGAGAUAGCUGGUUCUCCCCGAAAGCUAUUUAGGUAGCGCCUCGUGAAUUCAUCUCCGGGGGUAGAGCACUGUUUCGGCUAGGGGGCCAUCCCGGCUUACCAACCCGAUGCAAACUGCGAAUACCGGAGAAUGUUAUCACGGGAGACACACGGCGGGUGCUAACGUCCGUCGUGAAGAGGGAAACAACCCAGACCGCCAGCUAAGGUCCCAAAGUCAUGGUUAAGUGGGAAACGAUGUGGGAAGGCCCAGACAGCCAGGAUGUUGGCUUAGAAGCAGCCAUCAUUUAAAGAAAGCGUAAUAGCUCACUGGUCGAGUCGGCCUGCGCGGAAGAUGUAACGGGGCUAAACCAUGCACCGAAGCUGCGGCAGCGACAC
This 770-nucleotide ribosomal RNA is filed under the name Salmonella enterica subsp. enterica serovar Enteritidis. RNAcentral's name for it is "partial 23S ribosomal RNA". The stretch from base 79 to 770 matches the Rfam family "Bacterial large subunit ribosomal RNA", at positions 1 to 1214 of the family's 2925-position model. Lineage: Bacteria; Pseudomonadati; Pseudomonadota; Gammaproteobacteria; Enterobacterales; Enterobacteriaceae. The record is from RNAcentral.